RNAcentral lists this unclassified non-coding RNA (410 nucleotides) under uncultured Inocybe. Its description in RNAcentral is "sequence contains ITS2". The stretch from base 1 to 154 matches the Rfam family "5.8S ribosomal RNA". The record is from RNAcentral. Lineage: Eukaryota; Fungi; Basidiomycota; Agaricomycetes; Agaricales; Cortinariaceae.
AACUUUUAGCAAUGGAUCACUUGGCUCUCGCAUCGAUGAAGAACGCAGCGAAAUGCGAUAAAUAAUGUGAAUUGCAGAAUUCAGUGAAUCAUCGAAUCUUUGAACGCAUCUUGCGCUCCUUGGUAUUCCGAGGAGCAUGCCUGUUUGAGUGUCAUUUGACUUCUCUCAACCACAUCAUCAUCAUGAAUGUGGCUUGGAUGUGGGGGAUUUUGCAGGCUUCUUUCUCAUAGUAGUCUGCUCCUCUGAAAUGCAUUAGUGGUGUCUGAGCUGCUAUUUGGUGUGAUAAAUUAUCUAUGCCUCUGGUAUGCUGGUCAGCACUGCUCAUAAACAAAAAUGUUAUAUUUGACAAAUUUGACCUCAAAUCAGGUAGGACUACCCGCUGAACUUAAGCAUAUCAAUAAGCGGAGGCU